This 274-nucleotide ribosomal RNA is filed under the name uncultured bacterium. Its description in RNAcentral is "partial 16S ribosomal RNA". It matches the Rfam family "Bacterial small subunit ribosomal RNA", at positions 523 to 796 of the family's 1533-position model. The record is from RNAcentral.
AUACGGAGGGUGCAAGCGUUACUCGGAAUCACUGGGCGUAAAGCGCGCGCAGGCGGCUUGAUAAGUUGGAUGUGAAAUCCCAGGGCUCAACCGUAGAACUGCAUCCAAAACUGUCAGGCUAGAGUGUGGGAGAGGAAGAUGGAAUUAGUUGUGUAGGGGUAAAAUCCGUAGAGAUAACUAGGAAUACCAAAAGCGAAGGCAAUCUUCUGGAACACUACUGACGCUGAGGCGCGAAGGCGUGGGGAGCAAACAGGAUUAGAAACCCUGGUAGUCC